CUGGCUCAGAUUGAACGCUGGCGGCAUGCCUUACACAUGCAAGUCGAACGGCAGCGCGGGGGUAACCCUGGCGGCGAGUGGCGAACGGGUGAGUAAUACAUCGGAACGUGUCCUGUAGUGGGGGAUAGCCCGGCGAAAGCCGGAUUAAUACCGCAUACGCUCUACGGAGGAAAGGGGGGGAUCUUAGGACCUCUCGCUACAGGGGCGGCCGAUGGCAGAUUAGCUAGUUGGUGGGGUAAAGGCCUACCAAGGCGACGAUCUGUAGCUGGUCUGAGAGGACGACCAGCCACACUGGGACUGAGACACGGCCCAGACUCCUACGGGAGGCAGCAGUGGGGAAUUUUGGACAAUGGGGGAAACCCUGAUCCAGCAAUGCCGCGUGUGUGAAGAAGGCCUUCGGGUUGUAAAGCACUUUUGUCCGGAAAGAAAACAUAUGCACUAAUACUGUGUGUGGAUGACGGUACCGGAAG
This 470-nucleotide ribosomal RNA is filed under the name bacterium PML44. RNAcentral's name for it is "bacterial SSU rRNA". It matches the Rfam family "Bacterial small subunit ribosomal RNA", at positions 19 to 484 of the family's 1533-position model. The record is from RNAcentral.